CCCUUAGAUGUCCUGGGCCGCACGCGCGCUACACUGAGUGUCUGAGAUACGAGUCUGCCUGGUCCGGCAAGGUCUAGGUAAUCGCUAAAAGACACAUCAUGCUUGGGAUAGAUUAUUGCAAAUAUUAAUCUUGAACGAGGAAUUCCUAGUAAGCGCAAGUCAACAGCUUGCGUUGAUUACGUCCCUGCCCUUGGUACACACCGCCCGUCGCUACUACUGAUUGGAUGUUUAAGCGAGGUUCUCGAACUGCUAGCGACUUAGCUUCGGUGAGGUCGCAGUGUGGGAAGUGAACCUAGCUUUGGUGUCUAGAGGAAGUAAAAGUCGUAACA
Molecule: ribosomal RNA, 329 nt
Filed under: uncultured eukaryote
Lineage: Eukaryota
Description: partial 18S ribosomal RNA
Rfam family: Eukaryotic small subunit ribosomal RNA
Source: RNAcentral